CCUACGGGAGGCUGCAGUGAGGAAUAUUGCGCAAUGGAGGCAACUCUGACGCAGCCAUGCCGCGUGCAGGAUGAAGGCGCUACGCGUUGUAAACUGCUUUUAACCGGGAAGAAACCCCAGGACGUGUCCUGGGUUGACGGUACCGGAGGAAUAAGCACCGGCUAACUUCGUGCCAGCAGCCGCGGUAAUACGAAGGGUGCAAGCGUUAUCCGGAUUCAUUGGGUUUAAAGGGUGCGUAGGCGGAGCGUUAAGUCAGUGGUGAAAUCCCGCAGCUCAACUGUGGAAUUGCCAUUGAUACUGGCGCUCUUGAGUGCGGUUGACGUGGGCGGAAUGUGCCGUGUAGCGGUGAAAUGCUUAGAUAUGGCACAGAACACCGAUCGCGAAGGCAGCUCGCGAAGCCGCAACUGACGCUGAGGCACGAAAGCGUGGGGAUCGAACAGGCUUAGAUACCCUGGUAGUC
This 460-nucleotide ribosomal RNA is filed under the name uncultured Bacteroidota bacterium. Its description in RNAcentral is "bacterial SSU rRNA". It matches the Rfam family "Bacterial small subunit ribosomal RNA", at positions 338 to 795 of the family's 1533-position model. The record is from RNAcentral. Lineage: Bacteria; Pseudomonadati; Bacteroidota.